RNAcentral lists this small nucleolar RNA (93 nucleotides) under Glycine soja. RNAcentral describes it as "snoRNA LOC114372755". It matches the Rfam family "Small nucleolar RNA R64/Z200 family". From Rfam's summary of the family: This family of plant small nucleolar RNAs belong to the C/D class of snoRNA which contain the C (UGAUGA) and D (CUGA) box motifs. This family includes Arabidopsis thaliana snoRNA R64 and Oryza sativa snoRNAs Z200 and J16. Most of the members of the box C/D family function in directing site-specific 2'-O-methylation of substrate RNAs. Lineage: Eukaryota; Viridiplantae; Streptophyta; Magnoliopsida; Fabales; Fabaceae. The record is from Rfam by way of RNAcentral.
GCUUUGCAGUAAUAAUUUCAUAAAUAAAUUCAUAUGUCAGACUUCAGAUAUUUUCAAAUAGUUGAGAAUAAAAAUUCUAUUACUUAGCAGAAU